GAUGUACGCUAGCGGCGUGCCUUAUGCAUGCAAGUCGAACGGUCUUAAGCAAUUAAGAUAGUGGCGAACGGGUGAGUAACGCGUAAGUAACCUACCUCUAAGUGGGGGAUAGCUUCGGGAAACUGAAGGUAAUACCGCAUGUGGUGGGCCAACAUAUGUUGGUUCACUAAAGCCGUAAGGCGCUUGGUGAGGGGCUUGCGUCCGAUUAGCUAGUUGGUGGGGUAAUGGCCUACCAAGGCUUCGAUCGGUAGCUGGUCUGAGAGGAUGAUCAGCCACACUGGGACUGAGACACGGCCCAGACUCCUACGGGAGGCAGCAGCAAGGAAUCUUGGGCAAUGGGCGAAAGCCUGACCCAGCAACGCCGCGUGAGGGAUGAAGGCUUUCGGGUUGUAAACCUCUUUUCAUAGGGAAGAAUAAUGACGGUACCUGUGGAAUAAGCUUCGGCUAACUACGU
Molecule: ribosomal RNA, 454 nt
Filed under: Dehalococcoides sp. enrichment culture clone AQ1-4
Lineage: Bacteria; Bacillati; Chloroflexota; Dehalococcoidia; Dehalococcoidales; Dehalococcoidaceae
Description: bacterial SSU rRNA
Rfam family: Bacterial small subunit ribosomal RNA
Source: RNAcentral